GAGGGUAUAGCUCAGUGGUAGAGUGUGUGCCUAGCAUGCAUGAGGUCCCAGGUUCAAUCCCCGGUACCUCCA
Molecule: transfer RNA, 72 nt
Filed under: Camelus bactrianus (Bactrian camel)
Lineage: Eukaryota; Metazoa; Chordata; Mammalia; Artiodactyla; Camelidae
Also listed under: 3 other names
Rfam family: tRNA
About the family: Transfer RNA (tRNA) molecules are approximately 80 nucleotides in length. Their secondary structure includes four short double-helical elements and three loops (D, anti-codon, and T loops).
Source: Rfam by way of RNAcentral